Molecule: long non-coding RNA, 1948 nt
Organism: Salvia miltiorrhiza (redroot sage)
Lineage: Eukaryota; Viridiplantae; Streptophyta; Magnoliopsida; Lamiales; Lamiaceae
Exons: 4
Source: RefSeq, a predicted model, not a curated record
CAGACAGCAACGUGUUGUGUGCAAGCCUUCGCCUCUUUCCAUCGGCGCUUUGCCUCCUUCCCACAUCGUCGCCAUCGGCGCCUCUUCCCACCGGCCACCGGCGCCACUUACCCCUCGAUCUACCGCGCUUCUAUGGGACUUUGUCUCAGCUCCCCCUCGAUCUACCGAGCCUUCGCGUCUCUGCCGCCACUAGUCUUCCCGGUUCCUGCCGCCUCACCGAUCGUCACCAUCACCACCAGCCCCCGCCUCUGCCUCACCGGUCGUCCCCAUUGCAGCUACCCUUCCCCUUCGGCUUUAAUUAGAGAAAUUCUCACCAGUCCCUUGGGAGACGAUUUUGCUUACCGUAGUCUGCGCAGUGUGGGCAUACCGGCUAACUGCCGAAUAUUUUUGGUGUAAAACGACGCAUCAAGAAGCAAAACAGUGGAAGCUAUAAAGGCUAUCCAACGUCCCAGUCCGCCUCUGCCACCACUCACUGUUGAUCCAACUCAACCACUACUGAAGCAAGGAGAUCCCGGUAGCUUCAUUUUUUGUAUUGGUCUGGGUGGACUUGAGGAGGUCUUAGGUAUGCUUGAUUUGGGUGCGGUAGUCAACUUGAUGCCACUCGACAUUUUUGAGAAGCUGGGCAGGAAGGAAGACGAGCUGAAGUGCACUGAUAUGAGAAUGGAGCUAGCUAACGGUUCUAUCAGCAGUCCACAAGGACUUGUGGAGGAUGUCGAAGUCACGGUGAGAGGAAUUAGAGUGCUAGUGGAUUUUGUGGUGCUUGAUGCAGGUAAAGGAAUUAGAGGAGAGAAUGGUCAUCUCGUUCUGCUUGGCCGGCCUUUUAUGGCUACCACCCACACUCGCAUUGACGUGGGAUCGGGAACUUUAAGUAUGGCAGGGUCAGGUAGAUCGGUAACAUUCUCAGUUUUUUAUAAGAAAAUCCACUACUCUUAAUCCUUCAUUGGUAAAUUGCUCUUACGUUAAGAGAAUUGACGUUGCGGAUGAGGAUCAUAUUGUGCAGGAAUUUCUUGACAACUUGCAGAAGAAAGAUGAUAUUAUGCAGGGGGAGGACGACAUUGUGCAGGAGUUUCUUGCUAACUCACAAGAUGAGGUGGCCAUUGAAGAAGAGUCGUUGGACAAGCUGCCAUACGAAUAUGAUAUAGUGCAAGAAUUCCUAGCUAACCUGUAAGAGGAGGCAGUCAUUGAAGAAGAAUUUCUGGACAUGCUGCAACGCAAGGAUGAUGUAGUGCAAGGGUUGCAGUGUGUACUGCCUUUAGAGGAAAAGAAAAAUGGGAGUUUUCAAUCUGGCUCCCGAAGAAGAGUUGUAAGGCACUUAAGCAGCUGACGCUUCAAUCGGACUUCGGUUAAGGGGCCUCUUAGUCGGGCUGGCGACUUAAAAACUAGCGCUGCAUGGGAGGCAACCCAUGUUUUCUUGCUUUUUCUUAUUUUUGUUUUUCUUUGGGUUUAUGUUUUUGUUGCUUCUGUUGUUUGGUGCAGGUUGGUGCGUUGGGGAUUGUUUGUUUUAUGGAUGAGAUAUAGGCAGACAUCGUGGGAUGCUACGAGCUCACCACUUGGAUCGGUAUUCAGGGUUCUCGGGCAUUUCGGGAAGUGAGGGAGGCAUUUUUGAAGACUUUUGGAGCCGGCCACCGCCGCCUCACGCCGCCCGCCUGCUUUCAAUUUGUAACAUCCUGCGAAUGGGGUAGGCGGCGGCGCCGUGGGGCGGCCGCCGCCACCCACGUAAAUUCGGCAGUUACGGAUUUUGGGUAUAAAACUCAUUUUUAGGGUUUUCUUCAUCAUUCUCGACCCAGCCAGUCCCCAACUACGUUUUUACUGUAUUUUCUUAGAGUUUUGGUAGAGAGAAACACAUUAGAAACUCUCGGAUUACGCUAGAUCGUCAUUUCCUUUAAUCAAUUGUAAGUUCUAUCUAUUGAUUUACAGAAUUCUACAAGCUUUCUUGGUUGUUCUUUUC